Long non-coding RNA from Brassica napus (rape), 1119 nucleotides. RefSeq lists it as uncharacterized. Lineage: Eukaryota; Viridiplantae; Streptophyta; Magnoliopsida; Brassicales; Brassicaceae. The record is from RefSeq and is a predicted model, not a curated record. The transcript has 5 exons.
AAGAAACGAGGUCCUCUUCCCUCUUUGUGCGACGGCGACUAUGUUGUUUCCUCUUUCUCUUACCUUCUGAAACGGUUUGAGUAAAGAUUUCGUGUUUAAUCUCAUUGAUUCCCCAUCUUCAAUGCUCUUUUUCGAUCUCAAAGGUUUUCUUCUCCAAUCUGAAGUCCGGCAACUGCUCCUCCGUUGUCGAGGCUAAGCUUCUGCGGUUUUGGGAGGCUAGGCUUCUGCUUUUUUGGGUCGAUAUGCUUCGUGUCUCUUUUGUUUCGUCAUGAAAAGCAAGAGUUUCAAGGAGUGUCCUCAUCCAGAUGAUAAGCAGAGAACCAACUUAGCAGAGAAUAGGGUUUGGCUCCAAGACAAAUAAAGUUCUGGUUCCAGAACAGAAGAACUCAGCUUAAGGCGCAACAUGAGAGACCAUAUAACAAUGCACUAAAGGCAGAGAAGGACAAGUCGAUGUGAGAACAUAGCCAUUAGAGAAGCACUCAAGCAUGCUAUAUUCAAAGCACACAAGCAUGCAAGGACCCAAAUCACUCAAGAGAAAGGAAGGAGCGUUAAGCAGAUCAGAGCAGUGAGCAAGCAACGAAACACUAGAGACAGAGGAACAUCAUCAUCUCCACCUGCAAGAUCGCAGGUGUAAAGACACCAGUGAGAAAUUCUACUUCAGUGAGAGGGUCAACUUCGGGAAGAGCAUCAUCUCCUCCAGAAAAAAUCCACAAAGCCCAAGAGAAACAUAUUAAAGACGGUUGGAUCCAGAUCGAUAGCUGCAAGGGGGAAGAAAGGUUCAGAAAGAACAGGGGAAGGUCCAAGAGAAGAUGAGGAAUCUGACAUGAAUGGGACUAUGAAACCAAAAGUUGUGUCCAGACGCUAGGAGGGCUCACGCACAAUGUAUCUGCAGUAUGUUUCCAGCCGGAGCUUCCAAUAAUACCCACAGGUUUUGAGGAUGGCACUGUUCGCAUUUGGCACCCUAUGACGUAAGAGUGUUACGUACGAGUGUUUUAUUUAAAACUUUUAUUCUGUCAAUAAACAUAGCAGUGUUGUUGUUUUUUUGGUAUUUAACUUAACUACGCCUUGAAUACAUGAGACUCUUUCUUAUAUUCAUUAUCACAGUUGGUUUGUUUUCUC